RNAcentral lists this ribosomal RNA (664 nucleotides) under Phoma sp. A558. RNAcentral's name for it is "partial small subunit ribosomal RNA". It matches the Rfam family "Bacterial small subunit ribosomal RNA", at positions 547 to 1113 of the family's 1533-position model. Lineage: Eukaryota; Fungi; Ascomycota; Dothideomycetes; Pleosporales; Didymellaceae. The record is from RNAcentral.
AUCUUUAACAGGUAUAUAGGGUACCUAGACGGUGUGCAAAGGCUUAUAAAUCAGUACCUUUUACACUUGAGUUUGAUAUGGGAGAGGUAUAUACCAGAAUUGUUGGUGGAGAGAUGAAAUUUUUUAAUACCUUCAGGACUGAUAACGGCGAAGGCAAACCUCUAUCUACAAAAUGGCAAAAACUAAAUAUAGGUCUAGACUUUAAUUAAAAAAGGAAAGAACAGGGAAGAAAAAUAAGGCGCCCUAAAGUGGAUGUUUUUGUAAAAAAAAUUUGUGUACUGAGUCAGUCACACUUACCAUUUUUUAACUGACGUUGAGGGACGAAGGCUCAGAACAGUAAAAAGGAUUAGAUACCCUUGUAAUCUGGGCAGACAAUGAUGAGUGCCAUAGGUUCGCUUUAGGCGGGACUAUAAAUGAAAGUGUAAGCACUUCACCUCAAGAGUAAUGUGGCAACGCAGGAACUGAAAUCAUUAGACCGUUUCUGAAACCAGUAGUGAAGUAUGUUAUUUAAUUCGAUGAUCCUCGAAUAACCUUACCACAACUUGAAUGAACUAAAUUAUUUUGAAUUUUUAAAUUUUUAGACCACAUGCGUUGCAUGGCUGUCUUCAGUUGAUGUCGUGAGACUUUGGUUAGGUCCAUAAAAUUAACGUAAACCCUUGUUUUA